ACGCUGGCGGCGUGCCUAAUACAUGCAAGUAGAACGCUGAAGGAGGAGCUUGCUUCUCUGGAUGAGUUGCGAACGGGCGAGUAACGCGUAGGUAACCUGCCUGGUAGCGGGGGAUAACUAUUGGAAACGAUAGCUAAUACCGCAUAACAGUAGAUGUUGCAUGACAUUUGCUUAAAAGGUGCAAUUGCAUCACUACCAGAUGGACCUGCGUUGUAUUAGCUAGUUGGUGGGGUAACGGCUCACCAAGGCGACGAUACAUAGCCGACCUGAGAGGGUGAUCGGCCACACUGGGACUGAGACACGGCCCAGACUCCUACGGGAGGCAGCAGUAGGGAAUCUUUGGCAAUGGACGGAAGUCUGACCGAGCAACGCCGCGUGAGUGAAGAAGGUUUUCGGAUCGUAAAGCUCUGUUGUAAGAGAAGAACGAGUGUGAGAGUGGAAAGUUCACACUGUGACGGUAUCUUACCAGAAAGGGACGGCUAACUACGCGCCAGCAGCCGCGGUAAUACGUAGGUCCCGAGCGUUGUCCGGAUUUAUUGGGCGUAAAGCGAGCGCAGGCGGUUAGAUAGGUCUGAAGUUAAAGGCUGUGGCUUAACCAUAGUACGCUUUGGAAACUGUUUAACUUGAGUGCAAGAGGGGAGAGUGGAAUUCCAUGUGUAGCGGUGAAAUGCGUAGAUAUAUGGAGGAACACCGGUGGCGAAAGCGGCUCUCUGGCUUGUAACUGACGCUGAGGCUCGAAAGCGU
RNAcentral lists this ribosomal RNA (744 nucleotides) under uncultured Streptococcus sp. RNAcentral describes it as "bacterial SSU rRNA". It matches the Rfam family "Bacterial small subunit ribosomal RNA", at positions 33 to 762 of the family's 1533-position model. Lineage: Bacteria; Bacillati; Bacillota; Bacilli; Lactobacillales; Streptococcaceae. The record is from RNAcentral.